RNAcentral lists this ribosomal RNA (257 nucleotides) under uncultured bacterium. Its description in RNAcentral is "partial 16S ribosomal RNA". It matches the Rfam family "Bacterial small subunit ribosomal RNA", at positions 524 to 777 of the family's 1533-position model. The record is from RNAcentral.
UACAGAGGUCCCAAGCGUUGUUCGGAUUCACUGGGCGUAAAGGGUGCGUAGGCGGUUGGGGUAAGUCUGAUGUGAAAUCUCACAGCUUAACUGUGAAACUGCAUUGGAUACUAUCCGGCUAGAGGAAUGGAGGGGAGACUGGAAUACUUGGUGUAGCAGUGAAAUGCGUAGAUAUCAAGUGGAACACCAGUGGCGAAGGCGAGUCUCUGGGACAUUUUCCUGACGCUGAGGCACGAAAGCCAGGGGAGCAAACUGGG